UACCUUUGCCCCCGAUUUAAAAAAAUACAUAAUAAUCAUUUUAAACAAUAUUGGAAUG
This 58-nucleotide non-coding RNA is filed under the name unclassified sequences. Its description in RNAcentral is "S15-Flavobacteria ribosomal protein leader". It matches the Rfam family "S15-Flavobacteria ribosomal protein leader". The record is from RNAcentral.